This 100-nucleotide small RNA is filed under the name Pongo abelii (Sumatran orangutan). RNAcentral's name for it is "processed transcript". Lineage: Eukaryota; Metazoa; Chordata; Mammalia; Primates; Hominidae. The record is from RNAcentral.
UGCCACCUGCAGGAGACGGAGCUACUGGAUCUCAGCCUUGUCAAAGAUGCCAGAUGUGGGAGACACGCCAAAGCUCCCAAGGACCCUAAAUUACGUGAAC